Molecule: long non-coding RNA, 1969 nt
Organism: Equus quagga
Lineage: Eukaryota; Metazoa; Chordata; Mammalia; Perissodactyla; Equidae
Exons: 2
Source: RefSeq, a predicted model, not a curated record
CCACGAUUUGCACGAAGCGGUCGAUCUGCUCGGGGGCCGGCGGGCAGAAGUCUGGGAUGCGCAGCCGGUGCAGGGUGAGGCCGGGGCAGCUGUCGCUGUGCGGGGGCCCGCGCUCCGUCAGGGACACCAGAUAGAAAACUGAAGAUCUGGAGAAGUUCAGGAACUUGACCAGGAGAUGACUGAUGGCCUGGGGAUUUGGAACCAAGCAGCCUGGCUCCAGAAUCUUGAACAACACAGCAUUGUUUCCUAAGGUUAAAAAGAAGUUUACUGACUCUUCACAUAACCAUCCUCAUGUCCCCAAAUAUCAUCUGGGUUAAACAAUUGCAGAAUUUCUUAAUUUCUCUUCAUAUUUCACGAUUUCCAGGCUCUCUGAGUCACCCCCCCCCCCCCCCCCCGCCCCGCCCAGUGUCAUUCCUAGGAGGUGGGGACCUACAUCUGUGUGUGAGCUGACCAGUCCAUAUCCUUAUUUGAACAAUGUGCUUCUAGUGAUACAGGCUAAUUGUAAUUAUGAAUAUAGUUAACCUCUAUUGAAUUUGCUAUGUACCAGGCCCUGUGCCAAGUGCUUUCUGGAAGAGCCACAUGUGGAAGGCAUUUUUGUAUUCCUUUUGAACAUGAGUAAUCAGAGGCUUAGAGAAGUCAGUUAACUUGGCCAAGGAUGCACAACUAGUAAGUAGCUGGGCUGGUUGAGCCAAGGUCUCUCUGAUUUCAAGCCCAGGGCACUUAGCCAUGAAGAUGUACUUCCUUCCCUCUGUCCCCACCUGCCCCUGACACACACAUUUAAAACUCUGGUUCCAGCAAAAUGAAGGAAUUUCUCUUCCCUCAGAGUUCAACGUCUGCUCUGACCCUGUGGAAAUGCACUUACCGUUUACCCAGACAACACUGAGGUCUUGCCUCCAGGUACUUUCUCCAAGUCCCAGGAGCUGCCAAAUCUACCCUUUCCUCUCCUUCCUGCAGUCAAAGCUCUGAUUAAGCCCUUCCUGUUUGCACUCUCAUUUCCCACACGACUCCCUAGCAAUCUUUCUAGCCCAUCCCAAUUCAUUCCUUUCUCUCCUUCCCUGCUACGCUCUCAGCCACCAGUCACCCCUCACCCCCACCCAAUUUCUCUCAAUCCCAUUGCUCCCCAGGGUUUCUGGCUGCCCUGCCUCUGGAGACCAGACUCCAGCACUUGUUCCUUUCAGGCUGAACUUUUCUUAGUCCCUUUGCCUUGUUCUCCUUUCUUUGCUCCCUCCACUCAUUAGGGAAAACUUCCCACAUUUCUCCCUACCACCUACGUCCCUUCCCUGCAUCCUUGAGAUCCAGCCCAGAGCCCCUCUUCUCUAGAGGGAAGACAUUUCUGGGGAAGACAGAGAUUCUCUUCUCCCCUGAGUCCCCUAAUAGGGAUUCUCCCCUUCGUGUGGAUCUUUGCAGGAGUAGAAGUACAUCCAUCAACCCAGCAGGGCCUCCUUCUGGAAAGGCCAGUUGGCUCCCUUUGUAGGAAUUCCUCUAUUUUCUCUACUGCUCUGCCCCUCUCUUCAACAGACCGUGCCUGGAAAGACCCUGCCUUGGACUGUGUCCCAUUGUCAAAGGUGCUAUUUAAUUUUCUGUCUUGGGCCCAGGGAGCCUCCAAUGGAAAGGAAAAACCCUCUCUGAUGGUUUCCUGGCUAGAACCCCUACAGUGUCAGCACCCUGCAUGUCCCCCCCCCACACCCUCCAUAUGCAAUCCUGAUCUUGUUUUCCUUUCUCUUCUGUGAAGUGUUGCCUGACCCUCAGGAAGAUUUAGGUUCUUUCUGUACUCCUAUCUCACCUUAUAUAAAUAUGUACUCCCAGUAUGGCAGUUAUUUUAUUGGAUUGGGGUUACCUGUUUGUGUAGAAGCCAAGACAACAUCAUUUUCUCUUUGAAUUCCACACAUUUAAUAUGGAGCCUGGCACACGAUGCUCAAAAAUGUUAAAUGAACCAAUAAAUGAAAAAAUAAAUUAGUAGAAUGCCUAG